Molecule: ribosomal RNA, 155 nt
Filed under: uncultured marine bacterium
Lineage: Bacteria
Description: partial 16S ribosomal RNA
Rfam family: Bacterial small subunit ribosomal RNA
Source: RNAcentral
UGAGGAAUAUUGGACAAUGGAGGAGACUCUGAUCCAGCCAUGCCGCGUGUAGGAAGAAUGCCCUAUGGGUUGUAAACUACUUUUAUACAGGAAGAAACACUGGUAUGUAUACCAGCUUGACGGUACUGUAAGAAUAAGGACCGGCUAACUCCGUG